Molecule: ribosomal RNA, 252 nt
Filed under: uncultured bacterium
Lineage: Bacteria
Description: partial 16S ribosomal RNA
Rfam family: Bacterial small subunit ribosomal RNA
Source: RNAcentral
CGGGGGGGGCAAGCGUUGUUCGGAAUUACUGGGCGUAAAGGGCUCGUAGGCGGCCAACUAAGUCAGACGUGAAAUCCCUCGGCUUAACCGGGGAACUGCGUCUGAUACUGGAUGGCUUGAGUUUGGGAGAGGGAUGCGGAAUUCCAGGUGUAGCGGUGAAAUGCGUAGAUAUCUGGAGGAACACCGGUGGCGAAGGCGGCAUCCUGGACCAACACUGACGCUGAGUGAGCGAAAGCCAGGGGAGCAAACGGG